Molecule: long non-coding RNA, 2622 nt
Organism: Octopus bimaculoides (California two-spot octopus)
Lineage: Eukaryota; Metazoa; Mollusca; Cephalopoda; Octopoda; Octopodidae
Source: RefSeq, a predicted model, not a curated record
UAGGAUACGGGCCAGCUUUUUUGAUUCGGCUGUCCUAUAGUCGUAAACGUUCCAGCUGUGAUCAUCUCGUGUAAAGCACCAAAUGGUACAGAACAAAUUAAACAGUUCAUGAAAAUACUAAGAAGGCGUGGUAGCUGUUGUUAAUUGGUCAAGCACAAGAUUUGGAGCCCAUGGAACAUAUACACAGAAAUAAUAUUUGGUAUUUGGAAGCUGUGCACAGUAUCUAGUACCAGACCCAAGAUGGAAGUUAUCAACACUGCAGUGCGUUUAGGAAAUGAUGAAGAUGACGAUGAUGACGAAGACGACAACGAAUAAGUUAAUUUUUAUAGUGGUUGAUCAGGUCAACUUUUAUUUGGAAUAGAACUUACAGUUGUUCUGUUUCGCAGAAACAUUCAAGAGACACAUCAUCUAGCGGGUGAAACGAAGCCAAAUUUGUAACGUGAGAUAUUUUAUCGCGUGUACCGAUUUUUUCAAAAUGGUGGUCUUAAAAAGCAGUCUUUGUCUUCAAAUACAAAUACAAAUACAUACAUACAUACAUACAUACAUACAUACAUACAUACAUACAUACAUACAUAGGUAGGGAUAUUACGAGAUGGUAAGAAAGAAGGAGAGAUAAGAGGAGGGAGAUAUAGCUAUUUCGAAAGAUACAAGGCUUUAAAUAUGGGGGAACAAAUAGAUGUAGGAACUGACAGAUAGAUAGAUAGAUAGAUAGAUAGAUAGAUAGAUAGAUAAAGAGAUAUGAAAAUGGAUAUUUUAAAUGUGCAUGUAUGUAAGAGGAUCUUUUCAGAUAAAUAUCCUGUCAAAAGCUCUUACAAUAUGCUCACUACGUUCUUUUUCUUCUUUAUGUGCCACAAGCACUUCGGAUGUGGGAUUUCCUAUUUUCACGAAAGAGCAUAAUUAUGAUAGGAAAUAGGGCGCUUGAUUGACUAAGCUGAACAGUAUUAGGUGGAGCUCAUUAAAUUCGAUUCUAGAGCUGAAACCAAUACAAGAGAGAGUAAAUCCCAAGCAGUAACGUUAGCUCGGCAUUCAAUAUAAAGUAGCAGUGAAGUGCUGCGAUCGAUGGUUUGCCUAAUCUCCUUCUCUCAAAACUGCAGAUCUUGUGCCUAAAUCAGAAACAAGCUUCAGGAUCGUUUGUACGACGGGCAAAAUACUUAGCGGCAUAUAUUCUGGCAUUAUGUUUUGUGCUUAGAUUCCGCUGAGGUCGUCUUAGGCAUUCAACGCUGUGGGGUCGAUAAAAUAAGUACCAGUUGAGCACUGGGGUCGAUAUACUCGACUAAUCACCUCUUCUAAAAUUUCAAACCUUGUGCCUUUAGUAGAAAGGAUUAUUAUUACUACCUUAUUAGAGUUAUCUACCCCUUCAUAUGCUCAUAGAUCUUAAAUGCCUCCACAAAGCCAUUUGUCUACAAAUUGCCCGAAUAAGAUAUAUUAAUUCAAGUUUUUCAACUGACUGUAUCACAUAAACGAGCCACUAAAGUAUGGGUAUUUAGUAUACAGAAUGAUUCCCUAAGGUAUUUUCCAUCAGCCACAUUGUCGAUUGUUGAUCUUAUCAGUUUUUCGACUUUGCAUCUCUCAAUCCUCAUGUAUUCUUAUUUUCUGUGUCUAAAGCUAUGGAUCUCUUUACAGUUAGGUAGAGCGAGGCAGUAUGUAUAGAAUGUCUUGGUCACAGACAUAUACAAAGCAUUGCUUGUAGUAGUUCAACAUUUAACUCGGCUAAUACCUCUCCCUCUCACUCUCUCCAUAUAUAUAUGUGUGUGUGUGUGUGUGUGUGUGUGUGUGUGUCUUUUCGUCUCUCUAUAUGUCUCCUUUGCGUUAUGAUGGUUCUGAAAUAUUUCUGAGUUAUGCUGUCACACAGGCUCGGAGAUUAUGAAUAAUGCAACUGAUUAUCUAGUGGUUCAUGAAACAUCAUAACAAAGAGUCAAAGUCCCAUAAAAGCAUUGAUCUCUAUCAGAACUAAGACACAUUUCUACAUGCAUAAAACAUAACUACUAAGUCCCAUAAACCAACAUCAGAUAUAAGUAAAAUGGUGUUGCUAACAAGUCGACACACCAGUUGACGGAAAUCGAUAUGCACAACGCGUAGUUUUCUAUUAUUAUUAUUAUUAUUAUUAUCAUUAUUAUUAUUAUUAUUAUUAUUAUCAUUAUUAUUAUUAUUGCUGUUGUUAUUAUUAUUAUUAUUAUUAACGUUAUCAUUAUCAUUCUAUUUAUUGGUUUUGCUAUUUUUUGUUGCAAUCGUUAAUUUUGUCUUUUUUUGUUCGAUCUUAAUUCUCCACUGCAUUUGUCUUUCGUACUUCUCUUGUUUCCAAACUCUUGUGCCCUUGUGGUUAAUAAAAGAAAUUAUUAUUAUUAUUAUUAUUAUUAUUAUUAUUAUUGGAUUGGCAGAAUUGUUAGGGCAUCAGAAAAAGUGUAAUGCUGCAUUUUUACGUUCUGAAGUCUAAUCUCACCGCUCCCCCCUUCUCUCUCUCUCUCACUCACUCACUCACUCACACACAUACACACACACGCACACAGCUUUUAGUUGGAUAUUUGCUAAAUGGCCAAAGGAAAAUAAGGAAUCAAAUGCUAAAUUGUGUGUGUGUGUGUGUGUAUACACACACACCCAUACCCACAUCCAUAUAUACAUAUA